CACGUAGUUAGCCGUGGCUUAUUCAAGAGGUACCGUCUUCUGCUCUUCCCUCUUAAAAGAAGUUUACAACCCGAAAGCCUUCUUCCUUCACGCGGCGUUGCUGGGUCAGGCUUGCGCCCAUUGCCCAAUAUUCCCCACUGCUGCCUCCCGUAGGAGUCUGGGCCGUAUCUCAGUCCCAAUGUGGCCGGCCAACCUCUCAGUCCGGCUACUGAUCGUCGCCUUGGUAGGCCGUUACCCUACCAACCAGCUAAUCAGACGCGAGGCCAUCUCUCAGCGAUAAAUCUUUGAUAUCCAUACCAUGCGAUACAGAUAUAUUAUGCGGUAUUAGCAGUCGUUUCCAACUGUUGUCCCCCUCUGAGAGGUAGGUUCCUCACGCGUUACUCACCCGUCCGCCACUAAGUAUCCUCUUCCAUUGACCGAAAUCUCUUUCCAAGGUACUCCGUUCGACUUGCAUGUGUUAAGCACGCCGCCAGCGUUCGUCCUGAGCCAGGAUCAAACUCU
RNAcentral lists this ribosomal RNA (501 nucleotides) under uncultured Oscillibacter sp. RNAcentral describes it as "partial 16S ribosomal RNA". The record is from RNAcentral. Lineage: Bacteria; Bacillati; Bacillota; Clostridia; Eubacteriales; Oscillospiraceae.